GGUUGAGCAAUGCCAUAUCCAUUCGUGUCUAGUUUUGAAUGGAUGUGUUUUCUAAGGAUUCACAUGAACAACGGCCAAUGGCGGCCAGCAACUUAAGCACGUCACCCAGCCAGUGUCCUGCCCACCUUCGUGUUUGCUGUCCAUGGCCCAUGCACCCUUGGCUGCAUUCUCCAGUCUCAUCUAAUUUGCCCUCCUUGUAAGGCCUUAGUCCCCUGCCGGACCUCUGGAACAGUUGUGCGGUCUGACAGGUACAAUUGUAGCAACACCAAUCUUUCCAAUGAUUGUCUGCUCCUGGGGCUGGCUGAGUUGGAGAUUUGGUAGCAUCUACGUCGAGCUCGGUUGUAAGGAAAUCUCUGUCCUUCUAAUGCAUGGUGAGAAGACUUGAGAGCCAGGGAAAACAUACACUUGAGGAGCUAGGGAUAGGCAUGGCUUCAGUCAUGGCUCCUCCCUGGCCUCGGGAAAGCCCUUCACUUGUCUCAUUUCUGAAACAGAAAUAGAAGUGUUUCUAACGGUUUAGCACCCACCAGCCCUGACAUCUACAAGGACCUAACAGAAAAGUCCAGAGACUAUUUAUGCACUCCAGUACCAUAAUCUGUCGUGGAUGGACUGAUGCAGGUGAGUGAGGAGGGAGUCCGAAGUCUGAGUAUCUU
Molecule: long non-coding RNA, 650 nt
Organism: Perognathus longimembris pacificus (Pacific pocket mouse)
Lineage: Eukaryota; Metazoa; Chordata; Mammalia; Rodentia; Heteromyidae
Exons: 3
Source: RefSeq, a predicted model, not a curated record